RNAcentral lists this long non-coding RNA (1218 nucleotides) under Salmo salar (Atlantic salmon). RNAcentral describes it as "lncRNA (ENSSSAG00000081920.1)". The record is from RNAcentral. Lineage: Eukaryota; Metazoa; Chordata; Actinopteri; Salmoniformes; Salmonidae.
AUGUUUUUAUGUUGCUUUAUUAACGCAAUUAUUAUUAUUUUUUAAACAUUGUAUUCAAACUGUUAUGUGACACGUAUUAAUGCCAAAAUAACAUGCUAAUCAGGCUCACCAAAAAAAACAUAUAUUUUUUUUAGCUAAACAGUUGGGGCUGAAAACACCUGAAGGACGGGUCGCCACUGCAUAACAGUCCGUUAUCUUGAUCAGUAAUGGUCUUUUAGGAAAUGGCUACUGUUGACAUGGAUACCGCAACUGUUAUGACUGUUUCUAUGGAAACGGUUACCAAGAGCAAGGUCGGCCUCCCUUGGUGUCAUGGCAACACAACGCCGGCGGAAACAUCAAAUCAACAUCCAGUUCUGGUUAGUAUUAGAUUUUAGUUGUAAACCCAACGUACUUUCAACUUGAAAUAAACCAACGAUACAGUAUAUUGCACUAAUCAAUGAUAAAAGUUGAUGAGAUGAUGGCCUGAGUGUCUGUAUGUUUGUGUUAUCAUGCGAAUUCGUCAUGCCAAACUGGUUAGCUUAAAACAUUGACAAUGACAGCAAGACAUGGAGUUGUCAAGGGCACAAUAGAUUUAGGACCAGGUUAAUAAGAACACAAUAGAUUUAGGACCAGGUUAAUACGAACACAAUAGAUUUAGGACCAGGUUAAUAAGAACACAACAGAUUUAGGACCAGGUUAAUAAGAACACAAUAGAUUUAGGACCAGGUUAAUAAGAACACAAUAGAUUUAGGUCCAGGUUAAUAAGAACACAACAGAUUUAGGACCAGGUUAAUAAGAACACAAUAGAUUUAGGACCAGGUUAAUAAGAACGCAAUAGAUUUAGGACCAGGUUUAUAAGAACACAAUAGAUUUAGGACCAGGUUAAUAAGAACACAACAGAUUUAGGACCAGGUUAAUAAGAACACAACAGAUUUAGGACCAGGUUAAUAAGAACACAAUAGAUUUAGGACCAGGUUAAUAAGAACACAAUAGAUUUAGGACCAGGUUAAUAAGAACACAAUAGAUUUAGGACCAGGUUAAUAAGAACACAACAGAUUUAGGACCAGGUUAAUCAGAACACAAUAGAUUUAGGACCAGGUUAAUAAGAGAGGGAGAGAGAGGCAGAGAGACAGAGAGAGAGAAGGGGAGAGAGAGAGCGAGAGAGAGAGAAGGGGAGAGAGAGAGAGAGAGAGAGAGAGAGAGAGAGAGAGAGAGAGAGAGAGAGAGAGAGAGAGAGAG